ACAAUGGUAGGAGAGCGUUCUAAGGGCGUUGAAGCAUGAUCGUAAGGACAUGUGGAGCGCUUAGAAGUGAGAAUGCCGGUGUGAGUAGCGAAAGACGGGUGAGAAUCCCGUCCACCGAUUGACUAAGGUUUCCAGAGGAAGGCUCGUCCGCUCUGGGUUAGUCGGGUCCUAAGCUGAGGCCGACAGGCGUAGGCGAUGGAUAACAGGUUGAUAUUCCUGUACCACCUAUAAUCGUUUUAAUCGAUGGGGGGACGCAGUAGGAUAGGCGAAGCGUGCGAUUGGAUUGCACGUCUAAGCAGUAAGGCUGAGUAUUAGGCAAAUCCGGUACUCAUUAAGGCUGAGCUGUGAUGGGGAGAAGACAUUGUGUCUUCGAGUCGUUGAUUUCACACUGCCGAGAAAAGCCUCUAGAUAGAAAAUAGGUGCCCGUACCGCAAACCGACACAGGUAGUCAAGAUGAGAAUUCUAAGGUGAGCGAGCGAACUCUCGUUAAGGAACUCGGCAAAAUGACCCCGUAACUUCGGGAGAAGGGGUGCUCUUUAGGGUUAACGCCCAGAAGAGCCGCAGUGAAUAGGCCCAAGCGACUGUUUAUCAAAAACACAGGUCUCUGCUAAACCGUAAGGUGAUGUAUAGGGGCUGACGCCUGCCCGGUGCUGGAAGGUUAAGAGGAGU
This 669-nucleotide ribosomal RNA is filed under the name Staphylococcus aureus. Its description in RNAcentral is "partial 23S ribosomal RNA". It matches the Rfam family "Bacterial large subunit ribosomal RNA", at positions 1222 to 1887 of the family's 2925-position model. The record is from RNAcentral. Lineage: Bacteria; Bacillati; Bacillota; Bacilli; Caryophanales; Staphylococcaceae.